RNAcentral lists this ribosomal RNA (1528 nucleotides) under Klebsiella pneumoniae. RNAcentral describes it as "bacterial SSU rRNA". It matches the Rfam family "Bacterial small subunit ribosomal RNA". Lineage: Bacteria; Pseudomonadati; Pseudomonadota; Gammaproteobacteria; Enterobacterales; Enterobacteriaceae. The record is from RNAcentral.
AGAGUUUGAUCAUGGCUCAGAUUGAACGCUGGCGGCAGGCCUAACACAUGCAAGUCGAGCGGUAGCACAGAGAGCUUGCUCUCGGGUGACGAGCGGCGGACGGGUGAGUAAUGUCUGGGAAACUGCCUGAUGGAGGGGGAUAACUACUGGAAACGGUAGCUAAUACCGCAUAAUGUCGCAAGACCAAAGUGGGGGACCUUCGGGCCUCAUGCCAUCAGAUGUGCCCAGAUGGGAUUAGCUAGUAGGUGGGGUAACGGCUCACCUAGGCGACGAUCCCUAGCUGGUCUGAGAGGAUGACCAGCCACACUGGAACUGAGACACGGUCCAGACUCCUACGGGAGGCAGCAGUGGGGAAUAUUGCACAAUGGGCGCAAGCCUGAUGCAGCCAUGCCGCGUGUGUGAAGAAGGCCUUCGGGUUGUAAAGCACUUUCAGCGGGGAGGAAGGCGAUAAGGUUAAUAACCUUGUCGAUUGACGUUACCCGCAGAAGAAGCACCGGCUAACUCCGUGCCAGCAGCCGCGGUAAUACGGAGGGUGCAAGCGUUAAUCGGAAUUACUGGGCGUAAAGCGCACGCAGGCGGUCUGUCAAGUCGGAUGUGAAAUCCCCGGGCUCAACCUGGGAACUGCAUUCGAAACUGGCAGGCUAGAGUCUUGUAGAGGGGGGUAGAAUUCCAGGUGUAGCGGUGAAAUGCGUAGAGAUCUGGAGGAAUACCGGUGGCGAAGGCGGCCCCCUGGACAAAGACUGACGCUCAGGUGCGAAAGCGUGGGGAGCAAACAGGAUUAGAUACCCUGGUAGUCCACGCCGUAAACGAUGUCGAUUUGGAGGUUGUGCCCUUGAGGCGUGGCUUCCGGAGCUAACGCGUUAAAUCGACCGCCUGGGGAGUACGGCCGCAAGGUUAAAACUCAAAUGAAUUGACGGGGGCCCGCACAAGCGGUGGAGCAUGUGGUUUAAUUCGAUGCAACGCGAAGAACCUUACCUGGUCUUGACAUCCACAGAACUUUCCAGAGAUGGAUUGGUGCCUUCGGGAACUGUGAGACAGGUGCUGCAUGGCUGUCGUCAGCUCGUGUUGUGAAAUGUUGGGUUAAGUCCCGCAACGAGCGCAACCCUUAUCCUUUGUUGCCAGCGGUCAGGCCGGGAACUCAAAGGAGACUGCCAGUGAUAAACUGGAGGAAGGUGGGGAUGACGUCAAGUCAUCAUGGCCCUUACGACCAGGGCUACACACGUGCUACAAUGGCAUAUACAAAGAGAAGCGACCUCGCGAGAGCAAGCGGACCUCAUAAAGUAUGUCGUAGUCCGGAUUGGAGUCUGCAACUCGACUCCAUGAAGUCGGAAUCGCUAGUAAUCGUAGAUCAGAAUGCUACGGUGAAUACGUUCCCGGGCCUUGUACACACCGCCCGUCACACCAUGGGAGUGGGUUGCAAAAGAAGUAGGUAGCUUAACCUUCGGGAGGGCGCUUACCACUUUGUGAUUCAUGACUGGGGUGAAGUCGUAACAAGGUAACCGUAGGGGAACCUGCGGUUGGAUCACCU